AAUCCCGAAGCCUUGCUUGGGAGAGUAAAGUGGCGCACGGGUGAGUAACGCGUGGGUAACCCACCUUCGAAUCUGGGAUAACUCCGCGAAAGCGGUGCUAAUACCGGAUAAGACCACAGCCGCUCUGGCGGCAGAGGUUAAAGCUGACCUCUCCAUGGAAGUUAGCGUUCGAGGACGGGCCCGCGUCCUAUCAGCUUGUUGGUGGGGUAAUGGCCUACCAAGGCAGCGACGGGUAGCUGGUCUGAGAGGAUGAUCAGCCACACUGGAACUGGAACACGGUCCAGACUCCUACGGGAGGCAGCAGUGAGGAAUUUUGCGCAAUGGGGGAAACCCUGACGCAGCAACGCCGCGUGGGUGAAGAAGGCUUUCGGGUCGUAAAGCCCUGUCAGGUGGGAAGAAACUCUUCAGUACUAAUAAUGCUGAAGCCUGACGGUACCACCAGAGGAAGCACCGGCCAACUCCGUGCCAGCAGCCGCGGUAAUACGGAGGGUGCAAGCGUUGUUCGGAAUCAUUGGGCGUAAAGAGCGUGUAGGCGGCUUGGUAAGUCAGAUGUGAAAGCCCUGGGCUCAACCCAGGAAGUGCAUUUGAAACUACCAGACUUGAGUACGG
RNAcentral lists this ribosomal RNA (609 nucleotides) under uncultured Pseudomonadota bacterium. RNAcentral describes it as "bacterial SSU rRNA". It matches the Rfam family "Bacterial small subunit ribosomal RNA", at positions 70 to 651 of the family's 1533-position model. Lineage: Bacteria; Pseudomonadati; Pseudomonadota. The record is from RNAcentral.